CCUACGGGAGGCAGCAGUGGGGAAUUUUGGACAAUGGGGGAAACCCUGAUCCAGCCAUGCCGCGUGCGGGAAGAAGGCCUUCGGGUUGUAAACCGCUUUUGUCAGUGAAGAAAAGGCGCAGUCUAAUACAUUGCGGCCAUGACGGUACCUGAAGAAUAAGCACCGGCUAACUACGUGCCAGCAGCCGCGGUAAU
Molecule: ribosomal RNA, 194 nt
Filed under: uncultured bacterium
Lineage: Bacteria
Description: partial 16S ribosomal RNA
Rfam family: Bacterial small subunit ribosomal RNA
Source: RNAcentral